GCCGGGGUCCCCUAAUCUGGUAUGGGGCAGGCCUGGAGAGCCUGUGGCCGUUUCGGCCUUGUGGGUUCAAAUCCCGCCCCCGGCG
RNAcentral lists this transfer RNA (85 nucleotides) under Nitrososphaerota archaeon. RNAcentral describes it as "tRNA-Ser". It matches the Rfam family "tRNA". From Rfam's summary of the family: Transfer RNA (tRNA) molecules are approximately 80 nucleotides in length. Lineage: Archaea; Thermoproteati; Nitrososphaerota. RNAcentral also lists the same sequence under 1 other name. The record is from RNAcentral.